Molecule: ribosomal RNA, 521 nt
Filed under: Paraglenurus albiventris
Lineage: Eukaryota; Metazoa; Arthropoda; Insecta; Neuroptera; Myrmeleontidae
Description: partial 16S ribosomal RNA
Source: RNAcentral
ACGUAAAGAUUUAAAGGUCGAACAGACCUAUUACCUUAAGCUUCUGCACUUAAGAAUUUCUUUAAUUCAACAUCGAGGUCGCAAUCUUUAUUAUCGAUAUGAACUCUCCAAUAAAAUUACGCUGUUAUCCCUAAGGUAACUUAUUCUAAUAAUCACAAAUUAUGGAUCAAAUAUUCACAUAUUAGUGUUGUUUAUAUUUAAAAAGAGUUAAUUUAAUCUUUAUGUCACCCCAACAAAACAAUAUUAUUACUAAAAAAAUUUAUUAUACUAAUAUUAUCUAAUAACAAAAUUAUAAAGUUCUAUAGGGUCUUCUCGUCCUCUAAUAAAAUUUUAGUUUUUUAACUAAAAAAAUAAAUUCUUAAAUUUUAAAAAUGAGACAGUUUACACUUCGUUCAACCAUUCAUUCUAGCCUUCAAUUAAAAGGCAAAUGAUUAUGCUACCUUUGCACAGUCAAAAUACUGCGGCCCUUCAAUAAAUAUAUUCAGUGGGCAGGUUAGACUUUAAAUUAUUCUCAAAAAGAC